UAGUUAGGACGCUCCAACUCUAGCAGUAGUCGUGUACGUAUAUUUUCAGGUGGAACUAACGAUUCCUUACUCUAGUCACGUAUAUAGGUGAAGGAAUCAAGGAAGGGGUGGAUUUUGUUGGAAUUCAUGCUAAUCACUCUUUGUGUUAGCCUUUUUUUGUUUGAUGGCAUUGCCUCACUGAUGUAAUGCUAUUACUCAAUAAAUAAAACAUCCAUCCAAUUUGGCGGUUAUCUAUAUCUAUAUAUGUUAUUAAAAAUAGGAUAGUUUUAGGAUAAAAAGUGGUUACUUAGUUAUUAAUUAAUUAAUUUAGUUAGUGUUUUGAAUUUUAAUUCAAAAAUAAAUGGGAAGUUAUCAAGUGGUAAAGUUAAUAAAUGUAAAAAAAAAAAAAAAAAAAAAAAUACAAACGCAGGAACAAUUUGGUUCCACCAAAUGAGGAUAAUGGUCCGGAACUUCCAAGCAGUUAAUUAGAAUUAUAGUUUUCCAUUUUAUUUUUAUUUGUAAUUGUAUCUUAAAAAAAAUGAAGAGAAAAAAAGACAAAAAAGGAGAAGGUGGUUUACGAAGGAAAUAAGAAAGAAAGAAAGUGGGGGAAAAAAAAAAAAAAAAAAGACGGAACCGAAAGUUGGAUUGGGAAGUUACCAUCCACUCAAAUAACUUCAUUACUUCCGACUUCUGGACCAAAAAGUUAUGCAUAUUGGUUCCUGCUGAAAAGGUUGUUGAUUGAUCUACUUUGAUUCCCAUCAUCAAUGCCAGCAGCUGCUGCAAUCUUUACUACGCAGUGCACUCUCGGUGUGUCUAAUGAGUGGGAAUAAAACCUGUAAGAAGCAUAGCAGCUAUGUUAAAGAUCAACUUUUGUAAGUAUAGUAUUGAUGAAUGUCAAUUUAUUGAGAAAUCGACAGAGAUGUUUGAUUGUGCCCUUCUCUUUAGUAUAACAGGGAAUGCUCGAAAUUGAUGGUUUCUUUUCCAUCAGAAGGCUACUAUUGGGAAGCUUACUGAUGUGCACCGAAAGUACAACGCUUCUAAAUAUAGAUAUGCUGCUAGAUGUGAACCAACCUUUUUUCUAUUAGAAGGAUGGUUGUAUGUUAGAAUGUGAAGUGAAGAAAUUAAAGUCAUGGUGAUAAUAAGCUGCUUCAACCAUCAACCUCUAGCACUCUGCAGAUCAAUUAGUUUAGUUUCCUCAUCAUCUUAUGUAUCAGCAGGGUUUAUGCAUAUUUCAUUUUGCAUCCUGUAUGCAGCUAAACUGAGUGGACUUUAAUAUUGUUGUCACCCCUCCCUUUAUAUCAUCUGAAAAAUAUAAGGUAAAUAGUUAUAUGUCAUUUGAAUAGCUUAUUCUUUAGAAACAAAAGUUUUGCACGUUUCGCUAUAACAAAUUGCUUGGGUUGAUGUAAGAUGAGUAUUCUCUAUUAAUAGUCACUCUUAAUUGUGUUAGUUUCAGUGACAUCCUUUUUGUUUUCACCAUUUCCCAUUUUCUAGAAUUCAAGAACUGCUCUUAGGCAAAACCAAUGUCAUUCAUGCCACUGCAGUUAUUUUAUGUUUUGUAAGGUACUCUACCUAAACACUUGCUUGGAACAAAUAUUGAGUUUCUGUUAUAUGUUGCAUUGUGCUUUUCGAUCGUUGUAUACCAUUUUAUAUGAGGAGUUUGGGUGCUCAUGGAACUCGAUAGGGAUAUCUGGAUCAGAACCUUUCCUUCUUUCUUGCUGAACCAGUAAAUUUCCUAAGAUAAUUCCUAUCAUCUAAACAUUAUUAGAUUAGGAUAAUAUUAUAUCAGCAAGAAUGUAGGAUAUCUGAUUACCAGUCAAUCCUGCCCCACAUAAAUCUAUUUGAUGAUUACUUUUCUCUGUCCACAUUAGCUUUGAAUUUAUGGUUAUUCAUUUAUAUGUAUUCUUUUUUUUUUCUUACUUCUGUUCAAUUGCAUGUUAUUGCGCCAGGUCACAGUUCAGUUGCUAACCUCUUAAACAGGAUUCAGGUAGCACAUCUUAACAUCUAAAGCCACAUGAUUUUUGUUAUGAGCAAAGUGACAGAAGGUGCAUUUGACUUGCAGAGCAUUUGAGCAGCAAAUGGAACUUAGGGAGAGAGGUUUGUAGUCAGGAUAUGAGAAUAAGCAUGAUGAAUUUGUUGCUGGGGAAGUCCUAUUUCAGGAGACACCGGCCAUGAUCACAUUGAUAAGGUCUCAUUUGAUCAGCUGGCGUGUUUCUUCUCUCUGCUAUUUUAUGUCAUUUUAUCCUUUAUAAUUGACACACCAACUAUAUUUUCCGCUAGCAAAAAGUGAAGGAUAAUAGACGAAGAUGAACGAACAAAAUAAGAAGUUGCUGGCGAAUGAGAGGCAAAUAUACAAAGCUGUGUUUUGCUUGAACAAUGUAAUACUGUCCGCGAAGGAGAAUCUUUUGAUCCGAUAUCUUAGUACAAAGCGGGAAAGAUGAAUACUAUUGCCUGCCCGAAAAUUAUUGUUACUUUUUUAAUCCUUUAAUUGCUUUUUGCACUACAUGUAGAGUUAUAGAAGAUCUAUUAUACAUAUAAGAACCUUUUCCUUUUCUUUCUAA
Lycium barbarum (goji berry) is the source of this 2537-nucleotide long non-coding RNA. RefSeq lists it as uncharacterized. Lineage: Eukaryota; Viridiplantae; Streptophyta; Magnoliopsida; Solanales; Solanaceae. The record is from RefSeq and is a predicted model, not a curated record. The transcript is spliced from 2 exons.